Molecule: RNA transcript, 4421 nt
Organism: Carya illinoinensis
Lineage: Eukaryota; Viridiplantae; Streptophyta; Magnoliopsida; Fagales; Juglandaceae
Gene name: ethylene-overproduction protein 1-like
Exons: 5
Source: RefSeq, a predicted model, not a curated record
AGAUCUUUGGACUAUUGAAGGACAUUGGCGUGAGAGACAGCCCGACUUUAGCGGCCUUCCUCUUCUACAGGAGUUGUUCCAAACAUACGCAGAGAGACAGACGCAGACAUCCUCAACCUUUUACCAAAGAUAGAAAUUUAGAAACGCACCUAAUGCACGUACAGCGAGGGAAAAGGAAAAAAGAAAUAAAUACAGAGAGUGUGUUUUUAUUCGUGUCUGUGUUUUGUGUGUGAUAGAAAAAGCAUAUAUACACAGAUAAACAGCGGGAGAGAGAGAGAGAGAGAGAGAGAGAGAGAGUGGCCGUUGAAACGGUCACCUCCACCCUUCGUCUGGUUGGCGACCAACGUGAUCAAGAUCAUUCCCCUUUCAACCCAAUAGAAAAUUCUACCCCUAUACUUCCUAAUUCUCUCCAUUUUUUGGGGGAAAAGGAAAACAAGAAAAAACAAAUCCCAGAAAAUCUACCAUUUUUUUUCCUUCAAACCCCAUUCCCCAAGCGGCGGUGUUUGUCUUGUGUAGAAGGUAAUUCAUUCCUUUCCUUCUCUACCCAUUUCCUCAUUUGUCCUAAUUUUACGAUUUUUCUUUUGUUUUUUUGAGCUAUAAAGCUAUCUGGCUUUUCGGAGAGUUUUUGUAUUCAAAGAGCUAGAUUUAUUGUUAUACUACAGCACACAUGCAGCACAAUCUAUUCACCACAAUGCGUAGUUUGAAGAUCAUGGAUGGGUGUAAAGGCACUCAGGUCUACGCUUUUAACCCAUCCGGGCCUAACACUGGUGGUGGUGGCGGCGGUGGCGUGGGCGACAAGCUUUUAAACCACCUCCAGGAUCAUCUCAGGGUCAAUUCGAUUCGAUCCAAAUUGAAUCGGGGUUUUCAAGCUCCUCCUAACACAGCCCCGAAUGUUGUACCUGAGAAUCUUCUACCGCACGGACUCCCCAAGACCGAUCUCCUUGAGCCCCGGAUUGAACCGUGCCUUAAAUCUGUUGAUUUCGCCGAAACCUUAGCUGAUGUGUAUCGCAGGAUUGAGAAUUGUUCUCAAUUUGAGAAAUAUAAGGUGUAUCUUGAACAAUGUGUGAUUUUCCGGGGGCUAUCCGAUCCCAAAUUGUUCCGGCGGAGCCUUAGGUCCGCAAGACAGCAUGCUGUUGAUGUGCAUAUGAAAGUUGUCCUCGCCGCAUGGUUGCGGUUUGAGAGGAGAGAGGAUGAGCUUAUUGGAUAUUCAGCAAUGGAUUGUUGUGGACGGAAUCUUGAGUGUCCUAAGGCUAGUUUGGUAUCCGGGUACGACCCUGAAUCAAUAUAUGAUUCUUGUUCAUGUUCUCGGACCCCUAGGGAGGAAGUUGAUGAUGAAAUCUUAAUGGGGCAUGAGGAAUGUUCGACUUCGGAGGAGGAUGGUGAUAUGUCUUUUUGCAUUGGGGAUGAAGAAAUUAGGUGUGUACGAUACAAUAUUGCGAUGCUUUCAAGACCGUUUAAAGCAAUGUUGUAUGGUGGCUUCAAGGAGUCACGAUGGGAGAAAAUAAACUUUUCGCAGAAUGGGAUUUCUGCAGAGGGAAUGAGAGCAGUGGUGAUAUUUAGCAGGAUAAAAAGAGUAGGUUCUUUUGAUCCACAUACCGUGUUGGAGCUACUCUCUUUGGCAAACAAGUUUUGUUGCGAGGAGAUGAAGUCCGCUUGUGAUGCUCAUUUAGCAUCUCUGAUCUGUGACAUGGAGGACGCAAUGUUGCUAAUUGAGUAUGGGUUGGAGGAAACUGCAUAUCUUCUAGUGGCAGCUUGCUUGCAGGUGUUCUUGAGAGAGCUCCCAAGUUCCAUCCACACUCCCAAUGUGAUGAGAAUUUUUUGUAGUUCAGAGGCUAGGGAAAGAUUGGCUAUGGUUGGGCAUGCUUCUUUUGCUUUGUACUAUUUCUUGAGCCAGAUUGCCUUGGAUGAAGACAUGAAAUCAAACACUACAGUGAUGCUGCUGGAGAGGUUGCAGGAGUGUGCAGUUGAAGGUUGGCAGAAGCAACUUGCAUCUCACCAGUUGGGUGUUGUCAUGCUUGAGAGGAAAGAAUAUAAAGAUGCACAGAAUUGGUUUGAAGCUGCAGUUGAGGUGGGCCAUGUUUAUUCAUUAGUGGGCGUUGCAAGGGCCAAGUUUAAGCGUGGGCAUAAGUAUUCAGCAUACAAGCAGAUGAAUUCUCUCAUUUCAGAUUAUACCCCAGCUGGCUGGAUGUAUCAGGAGCGAUCUAUAUAUUGUUGUGGGAAGGAGAAGAUGACAGAUUUGAAAACUGCAACUGAUUUGGAUCCAACUCUCUCUUAUCCAUACAAGUACCGAGCUGUUUCGCUAGUGGAGGAGAACCAGCUUGGGGCAGCAAUAUCAGAAAUUAAUAAAAUAAUUGGAUUCAAAGUUUCACCCGACUGCCUUGAACUGCGUGCAUGGUUUUCCAUUGUUCUAGAAGAUUACGAAGGAGCUCUAAGAGAUGUCCGGGCACUAUUGACGUUGGACCCAAAUUAUAUGAUGUUUGAUGGGAAAAUGCAUGGAGACUACUUAGUUGAGCUCCUCCGCCCUCAUGUUCAGCAGUGGAGUCAGGCUGAUUGUUGGAUGCAAUUGUAUGAUCGAUGGUCCUCUGUUGAUGAUAUUGGAUCUCUAGCUGUUGUACACCAUAUGUUGGCAAAUGACCCAGGGAAGAGUCUCCUACGCUUUCGUCAGUCUCUUCUUCUGUUACGGUUAAAUUGUCAAAAGGCAGCUAUGCGUAGCCUCCGGUUGGCUAGAAAUUACUCCACUUCUGAGCAUGAACGUCUUGUUUAUGAAGGGUGGAUUUUUUAUGAUACUGGCCAUCGUGAAGAAGCAUUAGCCAGGGCUGAGGAGUCCAUUUCCGUACAGAGAUCAUUUGAAGCUUUCUUCCUUAAAGCAUAUGCUUUAGCAGACUCUAGUCUCAAUCUUGAGUCUUCAAUGUAUGUGAUCCAGCUUCUGGAGGAAGCUCUUAGAUGCCCCUCAGAUGGCCUUCGGAAAGGACAAGCAUUGAAUAAUCUAGGAAGUGUCUAUGUAGACUGUGAUAAGCUGGAUCUUGCUGCUGACUGCUACACGAGUGCACUCAAUAUCAAGCAUACACGAGCACAUCAGGGUUUGGCACGUGUAUAUCAUCUUAAAAAUCAACGCAAAGCUGCAUAUGAUGAGAUGACAAGGCUGAUAGACAAGGCCCAGAACAACGCAUCGGCUUAUGAGAAACGUUCAGAAUACUGUGACCGUGACAUGGCAAAAAGUGAUCUUAUUAUUGCAACACAGUUAGAUCCCCUGAGGACAUACCCUUACAGAUAUAGGGCAGCGGGUCCAAUGUUACUUCUAUAACUGUUGGAGCCAGGAAAACUUCCUGGUGCACUAUCUGUUGAGUAUAGUUAUAUGUUGGUAAUCCAUUCACUGAUUAUCUUCGAGGUUUCACAACUAUAUUCCAUAUUUUUUAGAUGGCGCAUUGCCUUGUAAAUUAUACAUGUAUAUGUAUUAACUAGUUGACCCAGGCAUUAGUUUGCUGUUAUUGAGCCACAGUGUUGCAUAGCUGGCUGGGUUUCAAACCACUUGCGUCAUCUUCUUCUUCUUUUUUUGUUUUCACUUGCAUCAUUUGAAAUUGAGGUCAUCAACUUGGAAACUGCAUGGACCUUACUUUUCAACUUAAAUUCAAUCAUGGCUCUGAUUGACAUCAAAAGUACAUUUGAUUUUUGUUUUCAAAAGAUCUAAAGGAAUACCAUGGUCUGGUAGUUAUUUCAAGCAAAUGCUAGUUCUCAUUGUCGCAGAUUUGUUUUGCAGUCGAGAUGAAAAGCUCGAACUGCUCUAGUUAAGUAGGAUUUCUUAUGUUAUAUUACAUAUGCCUAACCCCAAGGGGUUGGCCCAAGUGGUGAAGGCCUUAGUCUUGGGGUCUUAUUCCCUUCAAGGUCCAAGGUUCAACACCUCAUGGGUGCAAACAAUCCUUUGGGGCCACACCCCCUGGUGAAAAGCCAGCGAUUUAACCAGUUCCGUGUAGGGAAACUUCUGAGGUUGCGGUGCAGGGGACCGGAGUUUAUUCUGCAGGGGUGGGUCCAAAGGGCCCUACUUUGGAGAGGUUCCCCGACAUCAAAAAAAAAAAAAUAUUACAUACACCAAACUGCAAGUAUAUCUUCUGAAGUAGACAACAGAACUGGUCUAUAAUUGUCCUCUCCUAUUUGGGGUAGGAUUCUGCCAGGGUGUUGGUGGUACUUACAAAAAGAGAGAGGUGUAACAAAAGUGACCAACCUUAUAGUUGAAGUUUUAAUGGAUGACCACAAAGAAAACGAAGCCAUAGCAGAGCUUACAAGGGCCAUAGCUUUCAAGCUGGACGUGCAGCUGCUACAUCUUCGAGCAGCAUUUCAUGAAUCAAUGGGGGAUUAUAUCUCCACCACUAGGGAUUGUGAAGCAGCUCUGUGUCUUGAUCCCAGCCAUGCUGAUACUCUUGAGC